GAGGGCCGACAGGACCGCUGUUGCUGCUGCAAGGAGCUUGGCACAGAAGAACAUCCCUGGAGCAGCCAUGGCUCUUCCACACAGAUGACCACUAUCAGUACAAGCCCUUCCCAUGGCAGCACCCCAUGUCCAGCAGUGAAAUCUCUGUGUCUGGAGGCAGAAAAAGUCAGGUUAUGUAUUUAUGUAUCCAGGCACUGAGUUCUGAACAAUAAAGCUGUGGCUUGGGUAGAUUUUUUGUCACUUUCUGUUUCCUGGUGAGCACAGAAUGAACAGGCAUUGGUAAGUGCCAAAGAUUUUCUGACUGCAGUGAAGAACCCAGGUCCCACUGGGUACCACCAUCACCUCUCUCCUGCUUCAGACUUGAAGGGGAGCUCUGCUCUGUGUCUGGCAAGCACCAAGUGCAUCUGAUGGAGGUGGCAGAAAAUAUGGCAGUAUGGAGGUGGCAGAAAAUAGCAGCGCUGAUUUGCUUUUGUGACACAUCAAGGCAGUGUGUGAUACAGGCACUUUGGCACACAACAGUGGGUUUCUCAUGUCUGUUCGUAACGUGCUUCGUUCCCUUGUUGCUUUGGCUUCUCUGCCUUGGUUAUACCGUGAGCUCCUCAGGUUCACUGAGGCUCUUCAGAGGCCAUGCAGGGGCUUUACAGCUCUUGACUGUGAAUAACCACUCCUGAAACAUGAAUAACCACUCCUGAAGCUGGUACCAUCAGCUUGCCCUCAGACAAGAUAUCACAAUUCAUAAAAGGACUAGAAGCACGAAUCACAAAAUGAUUCCAUUACCUGUCAGCACUAUAAAUGCCUGCAGUUAGCAGAGGCCUGUGCUGGGUAUGGUUCUUUGGUGAAGGUGACCAUAAACACCUCUCAGGGAAGCGGGGGAUGUGCACUGUAUUUGCCCAUGGAGCUACCAAGAAAUGGAGCAAUUAAUAAAGGACACUUGUAACAUUUUUGUUGAAAAAAGGACAUUCUGUAAAUCCUAGUCCAUAACCCUUUCCAAAAAGUAAUGCAAACUGUCACAGGUGCAGGAGGGGAAAGAAGCAGCACCGGCUUUCAGUAUUGCUGUGAUGUAGUCAGUCCUCAGGGAGUGUUUUACAAGCCAAAAUUUCUACUCAGUUGAUGCUAAGGAAGGGUCCAUCAUGGGAUUUUCCUCCUUUCCAUUAGUAUUUUAAUUAGACUUUCAUAUUAUCUUGGGACUUGGGGCUUGCGAGGAGUACCCUGUGAAGGAAAAAAAAAAAUUAUACCUGUAUCUCCCUCUAUAUUUUCUUUGUGUGAAACAAGCAGAAAUUUGAGAGCCCAGGUAGGCAGCGGGCACCUCGACUCAGUGGGAACACUGCAGCCUGCGAGCUGCAUCUUGUGCUCAUAAAUCAGCCCAAUUAUCCUAACGAGGAGAGCUGGGUCCCUCUUCUUUGAGCCCUGCUGGUUUACAGAGAGAGGAGAGCAAAUAAUAGAGAACAGUGGCAGCUUCUGGGUUGGGGGUGGGCAAAGGGAUGGAGGACAAUGGGCGAUGCUUCUCACCACUGCCACUUCAGGAGGGCAGCAGGGCAGUUCUGCAUUAUCCCUGGCUGUUUUUCCAGAUCAGAACUGAAAGCGGUUUCUUUUCUUGCUCUGUACUAGUUUAAGUUUUCUUGUAAUGGUGAAAAUUAGAAACUUGUUUUUCUGCAAUGACAACGCAGGUUCUUAUUUACUCCAUGAAUCUGGGAGCUGAAACUCCAAGAAAACCACAAACUACCAUGAGAUUUAUUAAUGAAAGAUGAGAGCCAAAAUUAUGAGUGGCCCCAUUCAUUGUUUUCUAUGUUUUCAUCCUGGUCCCUCCUAUUCUCCCCUCUUGGCGAUGUCUGAAACAAAUCAUUCAGGUCUAGAUCUCUUAUUACGACACUCACAGAGCCUCCUUGCUAUUGUUUUGGCCAAAUUAAAAACAUUUGUCAGGAGUAAUUGUUGAAUGGCAUAAAAAUUCAUCUCUAUUUUGCUGAUGAGGACUUAAUUACUUCCAUUCUAUUGUGAUAAGUUAUGUACUCAGUUCAGAUAUUUUUUAAUACAAAACAUUUUUUAAAAUGGCCAGUUCUGGCCGUUCUUGUGACAUCCUCCUCUCAGGAAAAUUCUUCUUCUUAAUCUCUCGGUAUGUUCUCAACAGCUUAUCCCUCUUUUCUAAUGUCAGUUUUCCUAAAAUGCCUUCUUAUUCCUGCCUCACACACAGCUAAGUUGUGUCCAUAUUUUCAGCUUUUCAGGCUCCAAAGAAAGCUCUAUAAUUAGUAGAUAAACCUUCUCUUUGGUCAUCAAUCCGCUCUGUGUUUCCUGUGUUGAUUUCAGUGAGUUAAAUGCAUUGAGAUGUUUGGAGAUGUCCCCACCCCAUCUUCAGCCUGAAGCACCACUGAGACCCACAGCUGCUGCAGAACACAAUGAAGCUGCCAGAGGCACUAAUGGGAGGAGCUGAAGGGUUUGUAGAUAGAAAGUAAGGGGUGUGCUGUAGUGCCUACAACCAUGGAGUGCAAGAGUACCCUUCUUAAAGCCAACAGAAUGGCAUCUUUUUUGAUGGAAAUAUAACAGUGGGACUUCAGAGCACGACCAGCACUCAGCAUUCAAAACAGCAUGCAUCAGGCCAGACACAAACUGUAAGACUAUUUUAAGUCAUUAAAAAGAUCCAGAAUUAG
Long non-coding RNA from Tympanuchus pallidicinctus (lesser prairie-chicken), 2642 nucleotides. RefSeq lists it as uncharacterized. Lineage: Eukaryota; Metazoa; Chordata; Aves; Galliformes; Phasianidae. The transcript has 2 exons. The record is from RefSeq and is a predicted model, not a curated record.